UACGUAGGUGGCAAGCGUUAUCCGGAAUUACUGGGUGUAAAGGGAGCGUAGACAGUAAUGUAAGUCUGGAGUGAAAGGCGGGGGCCCAACCCCCGGACUGCUCUGGAAACUAUGUUACUAGAGUGCAGGAGAGGUAGGCGGAAUUCCUAGUGUAGCGGUGAAAUGCGUAGAUAUUAGGAGGAACACCAGUGGCGAAGGCGGCUUACUGGACUGUAACUGACGUUGAGGCUCGAAGGCGUGGGGAGCAAACAGG
Molecule: ribosomal RNA, 253 nt
Filed under: uncultured bacterium
Lineage: Bacteria
Description: partial 16S ribosomal RNA
Rfam family: Bacterial small subunit ribosomal RNA
Source: RNAcentral